Molecule: ribosomal RNA, 512 nt
Filed under: uncultured bacterium
Lineage: Bacteria
Description: bacterial SSU rRNA
Rfam family: Bacterial small subunit ribosomal RNA
Source: RNAcentral
AAAGCGAGCGGCGGAUGGGUGAGUAACACGUGGGGAACCUGCCCCUAAGUCUGGGAUACCAUUUGGAAACAGGUGCUAAUACCGGAUAAUAAAGCAGAUCGCAUGAUCAGCUUUUGAAAGGCGGCGUAAGCUGUCGCUAAGGGAUGGCCCCGCGGUGCAUUAGCUAGUUGGUAAGGUAACGGCUUACCAAGGCGACGAUGCAUAGCCGAGUUGAGAGACUGAUCGGCCACAUUGGGACUGAGACACGGCCCAAACUCCUACGGGAGGCAGCAGUAGGGAAUCUUCCACAAUGGACGCAAGUCUGAUGGAGCAACGCCGCGUGAGUGAAGAAGGUUUUCGGAUCGUAAAGCUCUGUUGUUGGUGAAGAAGGAUAGAGGUAGUAACUGGCCUUUAUUUGACGGUAAUCAACCAGAAAGUCACGGCUAACUACGUGCCAGCAGCCGCGGUAAUACGUAGGUGGCAAGCGUUGUCCGGAUUUAUUGGGCGUAAAGCGAGCGCAGGCGGAAAAAUAA